AUGCUUUCUACGGCUGCAUAUAUACUAAAAUUGGAACGAUACAGAGAAGAUUAGCAUGCGCAAGGAUGACACGCAAAAUCGUGAAGUUGU
Molecule: small nuclear RNA, 90 nt
Organism: Pygocentrus nattereri (red-bellied piranha)
Lineage: Eukaryota; Metazoa; Chordata; Actinopteri; Characiformes; Serrasalmidae
Source: Ensembl